This 632-nucleotide ribosomal RNA is filed under the name uncultured Bacteroidales bacterium. Its description in RNAcentral is "bacterial SSU rRNA". It matches the Rfam family "Bacterial small subunit ribosomal RNA", at positions 88 to 719 of the family's 1533-position model. The record is from RNAcentral. Lineage: Bacteria; Pseudomonadati; Bacteroidota; Bacteroidia; Bacteroidales.
GUGGCGACCGGCGCACGGGUGCGUAACGCGUAUGUAACCUACCUAUAACAGGGGCAUAACACUGAGAAAUUGGUACUAAUUCCCCAUAAUAUUCGGAGAGGCAUCUCUCCGGGUUGAAAACUCCGGUGGUUAUAGAUGGACAUGCGUUGUAUUAGCUAGUUGGUGAGGUAACGGCUCACCAAGGCAACGAUACAUAGGGGGACUGAGAGGUUAACCCCCCACACUGGUACUGAGACACGGACCAGACUCCUACGGGAGGCAGCAGUGAGGAAUAUUGGUCAAUGGACGCAAGUCUGAACCAGCCAUGCCGCGUGCAGGAAGACGGCUCUAUGAGUUGUAAACUGCUUUUGUACGAGGGUAAACUCACCUACGUGUAGGUGACUGAAAGUAUCGUACGAAUAAGGAUCGGCUAACUCCGUGCCAGCAGCCGCGGUAAUACGGAGGAUUCAAGCGUUAUCCGGAUUUAUUGGGUUUAAAGGGUGCGUAGGCGGUUUGAUAAGUUAGAGGUGAAAUCCCGGGGCUUAACUCCGGAACUGCCUCUAAUACUGUUAGACUAGAGAGUAGUUGCGGUAGGCGGAAUGUAUGGUGUAGCGGUGAAAUGCUUAGAGAUCAUACAGAACACCGAUUGCGAA